GCCUAUCCCAAUUAGUUUGGGAUUUACUUGUGAAUUUGAAAUAUUUUGUUUCUGGAUCCUGAAGUUUCCUUUUCCUACGGCCUCUGGGGCUGUUAUUGUUCUUUGUAUUGGAGCUGUGACCUUGAAAUUUCAUUUGAUGUUACCAAGAUCAUUCCUAAUUUCCUUUCUAUCAUCUUCCAAUGCAGAUAUCAACCUCCUAUUCCGGU
This 206-nucleotide unclassified non-coding RNA is filed under the name Hevea brasiliensis (rubber tree). Lineage: Eukaryota; Viridiplantae; Streptophyta; Magnoliopsida; Malpighiales; Euphorbiaceae. The record is from RNAcentral.